This 500-nucleotide ribosomal RNA is filed under the name uncultured bacterium. Its description in RNAcentral is "partial 16S ribosomal RNA". It matches the Rfam family "Bacterial small subunit ribosomal RNA", at positions 30 to 523 of the family's 1533-position model. The record is from RNAcentral.
AUUGGACGCUGGCGACAUGCCUUACACAUGCAAGUCGAACGGCAGCACGGGAGCAAUCCUGGUGGCGAGUGGCGAACGGGUGAGUAAAGUAUCGGAACGUGCCCAGUCGUGGGGGAUAACGUAGCGAAAGUUACGCUAAUACCGCAUACGAUCUAUGGAUGAAAGCGGGGGAUCGCAAGACCUCGCGCGAUUGGAGCGGCCGAUAUCAGAUGAGGUAGUUGGUGGGGUAAAGGCUCACCAAGCCGACGAUCUGUAGCUGGUCUGAGAGGACGACCAGCCACACUGGGACUGAGACACGGCCCAGACCCCUACGGGAGGCAGCAGUGGGGAAUUUUGGACAAUGGGCGAAAGCCUGAUCCAGCCAUGCCGCGUGCAGGAUGAAGGCCUUCGGGUUGUAAACUGCUUUUGUACAGGACGAAAAGGUUUGGCCUAAUAAGCUGAGCUCAUGACGGUACCGUAAGAAUAAGCACCGGCUAACUACGUGCCAUCCGCCGCAGUAA